This 61-nucleotide transfer RNA is filed under the name Alteromonas mediterranea U4. RNAcentral describes it as "tRNA-Und (NNN) (tRNA-Und-NNN-5-1)". It matches the Rfam family "tRNA". From Rfam's summary of the family: Transfer RNA (tRNA) molecules are approximately 80 nucleotides in length. Their secondary structure includes four short double-helical elements and three loops (D, anti-codon, and T loops). Further hydrogen bonds mediate the characteristic L-shaped molecular structure. tRNAs have two regions of fundamental functional importance: the anti-codon, which is responsible for specific mRNA codon recognition, and the 3' end, to which the tRNAs corresponding amino acid is attached (by aminoacyl-tRNA synthetases). tRNAs cope with the degeneracy of the genetic code in two manners: having more than one tRNA (with a specific anti-codon) for a particular amino acid; and 'wobble' base-pairing, i.e. permitting non-standard base-pairing at the 3rd anti-codon position. The record is from RNAcentral. RNAcentral also lists the same sequence under 1 other name. Lineage: Bacteria; Pseudomonadati; Pseudomonadota; Gammaproteobacteria; Alteromonadales; Alteromonadaceae.
GGACGCUUAGCUCAGUUGGGAGAGCAUAGGGUCACUGGUUCAAGCCCAGUAGCGUCCACCA